This 292-nucleotide ribosomal RNA is filed under the name uncultured bacterium. Its description in RNAcentral is "partial 16S ribosomal RNA". It matches the Rfam family "Bacterial small subunit ribosomal RNA", at positions 773 to 1060 of the family's 1533-position model. The record is from RNAcentral.
GUGGAUUAGAUACCCUGGUAGUCCACGCCGUAAACGAUGAGUGCUAGGUGUUAGGGGUUUCGAUACCCUUGGUGCCGAAGUUAACACAGUAAGCACUCCGCCUGGGGAGUACGGUCGCAAGACUGAAACUCAAAGGAAUUGACGGGGACCCGCACAAGCAGUGGAGUAUGUGGUUUAAUUCGAAGCAACGCGAAGAACCUUACCAGGUCUUGACAUCCAACUAACGAAGCAGAGAUGCGUUAGGUGCCCUUCGGGGAAAGUUGAGACAGGUGGUGCACGGCCGUCGUCAACU